This 835-nucleotide ribosomal RNA is filed under the name uncultured bacterium. Its description in RNAcentral is "bacterial SSU rRNA". It matches the Rfam family "Bacterial small subunit ribosomal RNA", at positions 8 to 823 of the family's 1533-position model. The record is from RNAcentral.
AGAGUUGAUCCUGGCUCAAACGAACGCUGGCGGCGUGGAUUAGGCAUGCAAGUCGAACGAGAAAGCGGACUUCGGUCCGUUAGUACAGUGGCGAACUGGUGAGUAACAGGUGGGUAACGUACCUCGAUGUGAGGAAUAACUCCUGGAAACAGGGGCUAAUACCGCAUACGAUGCUAGGCUCUUCGGGACUUAUCAUCAAAGGCAGGACUUCGGUCCGGCCGCAUUGAGAUCGGCCCGCUUCCCAUUAGCUAGUUGGUGGGGUAAUGGCCUACCAAGGCAACUAUGGGUAGGUGGCCUGAGAGGGUGGUCACCCACACUGGGACUGAGAUACGGCCCAGACUCCUGCGGGAGGCAGCAGUCUAGAAGCAUCGACUAAGGCACGAAAGUGUGCUCGUGCGACGCCGCGUGUGUGACGAAGCCCUUCGGGGUGUAAAGCACUGUCAGUAGGGAAGAAGGCCCAGCAGGUCAUCUUGUUGGGUUUGACGGUACCUGCAGAGGAAGCGCCGGCUAACUCCGUGCCAGCAGCCGCGGUAAUACGGGGGGCGCAAGCGUUGUUCGGAUUUAUUGGGCGUAAAGAGCGCGUAGGUGGGCAAGUAAGUCUGGUGUGAAAUCUUCACCGCUCAACGGGAAGGAGCCACUGGAAACUGCUUGUCUUGAGGCCGGUAGAGGUAGGGGGAAUUCCUGGUGUAGCGGUGGAAUGCGUAGAUAUCACGAAGAACACCGAUUGCGAAGGCGCCCUACUGGGCCGGUCCUGACACUGAGGCGCGAAAGCCAGGGGAGCGAACGGGAUUAGAUACCCCGGUAGUCCUGGCCGUAAACGAUGAGCACUAGUUGU